Acanthosepion pharaonis is the source of this 110-nucleotide non-coding RNA. The record is from the annotation of a GenBank genome assembly. Lineage: Eukaryota; Metazoa; Mollusca; Cephalopoda; Sepiida; Sepiidae.
AGCCACAUUACGUUGAAACAUGGGUUCCCGUACGAUCUUGGAAGUUAAGCAACGUCGAACCUGGUUAUUACUUAGAUGGGUGACUGCUUGGGAAUACCAGGUGCUGUAAG